Sarcophilus harrisii (Tasmanian devil) is the source of this 1848-nucleotide long non-coding RNA. RefSeq lists it as uncharacterized. The record is from RefSeq and is a predicted model, not a curated record. The transcript is spliced from 4 exons. NCBI's taxonomy places the organism in Eukaryota, Metazoa, Chordata, Mammalia, Dasyuromorphia, Dasyuridae.
UGCCAAGUGCAAAGGACCUUGAAAAAGAAACUUAUCGGACUUUUGAUUCAUUGUACACAAAGGGAAGGGAGGAGGUGGUAACUUCAGUGAGAGAGAAAUUCUAGACCAGUGGGAUUGUGGUCAGAGAUUUUGUUAUUUUAUUCAUUAGAAUUCUUUACGGGAGGAUAAGUUAGCAAAAGUUAAUGCUAUUUUUUUGUGUUCUGGUCUUUUUCAGGAAAUUUUUUACAGGCCCAAUUUUGUGAAAUAUGGAUUUUGUACAAAUUAUAAUGGAAUGAAAAUUGAGGUCCAGAUAGGAUUUUAAUUGGACCUGUUUUAUCAACAGAAAUUAAAUGGCAUAUUAGAUGAACUGCCAUCAAAGGGAGCAUUCCCAAUCUAAGGGUGUUUUUAUGUACCAUACUUUUUUCUGAGCUUGGUCUCUAGAUUCUUCUAUGACCAUUAUUAGCUAAAUUGCAGAUCAAGAUACUAAAUAAUUUGGAAAUUUGCACCCAGAUUACAUUCCUGAUUUUCCCUUCUCAUUCUCUCCUGAAAGUGGUUAUGGCAGAAGGAGAUUGGAUAUGGCCUCUUGUUUCCAGUUUUUUCUCUUUCUUGUUGCUACUUCUUGUCUUAGAGAAAAUGAUUUUAUACUUUUUUGUUUUUAUUUUUACUUUUAUUUUUGUCUUUUCUCUUUCUCUCUGGCUUGGAGGGGAGCGUGGAGAACACUAAUGCCUACCCUUCCUUCUCUAUUCCUGGGAGCUCUUUUCCUCUUUCUGAGAGGUUCAGGGACUCAAGUUCUUUCUAACUAACCAGGAGUUCCAAGCAAGAACGGACUGACAGGAUCCUGAAAAGCCUUCACAGCUUAUUUCCCCAUCCUGGCAAUUUUUCAUCCUCAAAGACAUGAGACAUGGGACACAAUAAUUCCCUUUCCACAUUAGCUGAAAAGGGUGAAAAGUUAGAUUCUGAAAUAUAUUGAAGAAGAAUCUGAAAUACACUGAAGCUUUAUGCAAUCAGCAGAAAGACAUCUAUAAUAAGAGCAUCUGCAUGGCAUCGCUAUCCCAAGGGAAUCCUUCUUCCAUUUGGCAUCUGUAGUGAACACUGUCCAGUACAAUGGCUCAUCUAUAAAUCUCAACCUAUAGAAACAAGAUUUCUCACCCAAGGCUGCCAAGCUAUGUGCAAAGCAUCAGCAUCAGCGAAUUUAAGACCUAACAAAAUAUAUUGUUACAAUGAGUCAUUUAACAACCCUUUAAUUUAUAAUGUAAGCAACUAGCAUUAGAAUAUGACAUACUGGAAAGGUCUCUAUAUUUUUCUCUGUAGACAAUAGUACUGUCUUUAUGUAUAUUCUUUAUAUAGUGUACAUCAUUGUAAUGCUGAAAAGUUGGUAUCCUGGUAUUCAUUUAUUCAUGUAUUGAAUAUUUAGUGUUAUGUGCCAAUUGCUGUAUUAUAUGUUAAUGGAGAUGCAAAGUUUAUAUACUAUACAGUUCCUUCCUAUGUAUUAAGAUAUAUUGUUUCUGUGCUGCUGAGUAUCUACAAAUGUUAAAAGUGCCUUUUAAAUUCAGCACCCAUAAGUAAAACCCAAGUUACCCCACCCUGAUUAUUUGAUUUGUGCCAAGACAGCUCUUGCCACCUCCUUUUGACCAUCUUCAAUAUUACUCAAUAACCAGGAUGACUAAAUUUUUCUCUUUUUUUUCAUUUUGGUAUCAUAAAGACAAUGCUUCAGAAAUUCAUACUAAAAUGAUCUAUACUGGUUCUAAUACUCUUCACUUAUGAGAGUCUCUCCUUCAUUUUGAGCAUAAAAUUUUUCAUUAAAAGGUCAAUAAGGGGGCAGCUAGGUGGCGCAGUGGAUAGAGCACCAGCCCUGAAGUCAGGAGGACC